ACCGGCGAUGUCCCAAAUCUGGGCCUUGACGACCUUGUCGUCGACCUAGAGGGAGCGGGUGGCGAACUCGACCCCCCUGAUGGUGGACUUGGACUCGAGGCUGAACUCGUUGCGGGUGAAGCGGGAGAGCAGGUUGGACUUGCC
Molecule: ribosomal RNA, 144 nt
Filed under: Triticum aestivum (bread wheat)
Lineage: Eukaryota; Viridiplantae; Streptophyta; Magnoliopsida; Poales; Poaceae
Description: partial small subunit ribosomal RNA
Source: RNAcentral